AAAGAUCGAAUGAGGAGAUUCAACGUCAGCGAGGCUGGCCUCGGGAUGACGUGCGAUCCCUCCGGUUACUCCGGUAAUCCUGGGGGACGCCGUUGUCUCGCAAGCCGGUGGCGUCGGCGUGCACUUCUCCUCUAGUAGGACGUCGCGACCCGUUGGGUGCCGGUCUAAGGUCCGGGAUGGUAGCCUGUCUCGUCGCUUCGGCGCAUCGAGUCAGACCCCCGGUCGCCAGACGCCGGCUGCCCGGCGGUACUCACACGGUAUCGGGCCGCAAAAUCGAACUGCGUCGGGCCCGUUGCAAGCGCGAUCAGUGUACAAACGGAGGUCGGACCUAGCGCCGUCCCCGUGGCUGGUCAGCUGUUGGUCAACGGUGUUCUCCGACUGGCCAAUUGAACGAGCGAUACCGGUCGGCGACGCUACUGCUUUGGGUAAUCUCAGGACCCGUCUUGAAACACGGACCAAGGAGUCUAACAUGUACGCGAGUCAUUGGGACCGCAUGCCUAAAGGCGAAAUGAAAGUAAAGGUCGGCCCUAGCGCCGGCCGAGGGAGGAUGGCCCGCGUCAAGAUGCGGCUUCGCACUCCCGGGGCGUCUCGCUCUCAUU
This 599-nucleotide ribosomal RNA is filed under the name Prorops sp. MC-2010. RNAcentral describes it as "eukaryotic LSU rRNA". The record is from RNAcentral. Lineage: Eukaryota; Metazoa; Arthropoda; Insecta; Hymenoptera; Bethylidae.